ACAGCAGCCGCCGCGGUAAUACGGAGGGUGCAAGCGUUAAUCGGAAUUACUGGGCGUAAAGCGCACGCAGGCGGUCUGUCAAGUCAGAUGUGAAAUCCCGCAGCUCAACUGCGGAACUGCCUUUGAUACUGGGUAUCUUGAGUAUGGAAGAGGUUAGUGGAAUUCCGAGUGUAGAGGUGAAAUUCGUAGAUAUUCGGAAGAACACCAGUGGCGAAGGCGGCUCACUGGACCGGCAUUGACGCUGAGGUGCGAAAGCGUGGGGAGCAAACAGGAUUAGAUACCCGCGUAGUCCCUGUCUCUUAUAC
Molecule: ribosomal RNA, 305 nt
Filed under: uncultured bacterium
Lineage: Bacteria
Description: partial 16S ribosomal RNA
Rfam family: Bacterial small subunit ribosomal RNA
Source: RNAcentral